GACGAACGCUGGCGGCGUGCCUAAUACAUGCAAGUAGAACGCUGAAGAGAGGAGCUUACUCUUCUUGGAUGAGUUGCGAACGGGUGAGUAACGCGUAGGUAACCUGCCUUGUAGCGGGGGAUAACUAUUGGAAACGAUAGCUAAUACCGCAUAACAAUGGAUGACACAUGUCAUUUAUUUGAAAGGGGCAAUUGCUCCACUACAAGAUGGGCCUGCGUUGUAUUAGCUAGUAGGUGAGGUAAUGGCUCACCUAGGCGACGAUACAUAGCCGACCUGAGAGGGUGAUCGGCCACACUGGGACUGAGACACGGCCCAGACUCCUACGGGAGGCAGCAGUAGGGAAUCUUCGGCAAUGGGGGCAACCCUGACCGAGCAACGCCGCGUGAGUGAAGAAGGUUUUCGGAUCGUAAAGCUCUGUUGUAAGUCAAGAACGGGUGUGAGAGUGGAAAGUUCACACUGUGACGGUAGCUUACCAGAAAGGGACGGCUAACUACGUG
RNAcentral lists this ribosomal RNA (497 nucleotides) under uncultured bacterium. RNAcentral describes it as "partial 16S ribosomal RNA". It matches the Rfam family "Bacterial small subunit ribosomal RNA", at positions 28 to 507 of the family's 1533-position model. The record is from RNAcentral.